CUCAGGUCCCCAGCUCCCCGAUCCCCUCACCCCACCUCUGUCUACCCACAACCGCAUACACGUUCCCCUUGCAGAUCAAUUUUUGCCAAUGGGUGCCGAGCGCUACUCCUGGUCUCACCAUCCAGCAGGUGCAGCAGGACCGGAAGUCCCAGCGUAGACUCACCCGGGACAUCCACAUGAGACUGCUCUGGCUACACCCGCUGCCAGCUCGCACGUGCACAGAGCAGCCCCAAUCAGAAACCAGCACCAACACUAGGACAUCUCUGAAGACAUAGGCACUUGUGUCACCAGCAACUUACCGAACUUGGCAGUGGACGAGGCCUCGGUGGGGCACGUCCUCAAGAGCUAAACCUUAGCCCUUCAUAUAUCACCCCAGAAAAGAGAUGAAGCAGGCCCUUGAGCCUGUGGUUUCGGAUCCACUCCAGCUCCUUCUGAAGCCAGCGCAGGGCAGGGUGUGCUUGGACCCCAAGCUCCGCAGCCCAACCUCAGUCUCCAUCACCGCCUCCUCCAGGCAUCCCGUCUGUCCUGCCCUGCCCAGCACCCAGAACGCAGUGACCCAGGGCAGGCCCAGUGAACGUUCGUUACAUGAAGGGAGGAGAAAAACCAUAAAGCAAAGAAAGAACGAGAGGAAGAGGCAAGCAGCGGGGUAGCAGGUCCAGGGAGGGGGUGAAUGGAGCUGGGUCCCUCACCCUCCCAUGUUAUGCUCGUGCGUUUUUGGUGACAGCAGGGGCCGAACUAUGCGACCGGCCUGGCCCUUCUAACCCAGGACAUCAGGCGUCUCUGGUCAAAGGGAAGCCAGGUGCUGAGCUCCUGGCUCCCCCCUCCCCAGCCACCCAGGCAGCUCCAGCCACCCUCCGCCCAGUCAGGGAGGCAGGCCGGGAGGCCAGUUCCUCUGGGUGACUCUCCACCAACCACCCAUGUGCAGAGCAAACAAAGCGUCCACGUGGGCGUGUAUGACUUAUGGCUUUAAUCUCCCUGAUAGAAGGCCUUUAAAGAUUAUUUCAGGGAUGAAAAAAAAUAAUCCUGGGUAAUGAAUCACGGCCUUAAGAAGCUGAUAAGCAGCAGGGAAGCUGGCGGGGCCUGAGUUCCUGAUUUAAUUAAAGUCUUACGGAUACUCCCUGAAACAAAAUCCAUUGUAGCCAUCAAGGUGAUAAAAAGACUGCAGGUUCCUUUAAACUAACUCACCUGCCUUGUGAAUCUUCUUCCCAGUGAAGAGGACAGAUGAGGAGGCGGUGUCCUCGGGACCCAGGGCUGCAUUGCUGCAGAAGGCCCCGUCUGGGGCUGCCAGGGACCCCUGGGGUAUAGCAGGUGAGUGACGGAGCCCAAGAGCUAAAGCUGAUCGUUAGAUCUUUAGAGCCUGGAGGACGCAGGAUAAUAAGCUCAGACAGGGAGUAGGACCCUGUGAGUCCUUAGGUCACCCGCUGGCCCUCUCUGGGACUCAGGUUCCAAUCUAACAGCGGGGGAAUGAGUCCGGUUGGUCUCUGAGAGGCAUCCCCAAGCUGGCUUUCAGGGUCCUACGCCCCAUGUUCCCCACGGAGGGGAAGAGACACGGGUGGUACCUUCACAUGGGAAGGCCCUUUUCUCUGGACCCUGCCCGCAGCGCCAGCCUCCUGCCGCCCUCGUUCCCCCUUCCCUUCCCUGCCUUUCCUG
RNAcentral lists this long non-coding RNA (1650 nucleotides) under Felis catus (domestic cat). Its description in RNAcentral is "lncRNA (ENSFCAG00000044855.2)". The record is from RNAcentral. Lineage: Eukaryota; Metazoa; Chordata; Mammalia; Carnivora; Felidae.